RNAcentral lists this ribosomal RNA (475 nucleotides) under uncultured bacterium. Its description in RNAcentral is "partial 16S ribosomal RNA". It matches the Rfam family "Bacterial small subunit ribosomal RNA", at positions 28 to 523 of the family's 1533-position model. The record is from RNAcentral.
GAUGAACGCUGGCGGCGCGCCUAACACAUGCAAGUCGAACGGCACCCACCUCCGGGUGGAAGCGAGUGGCGAACGGCUGAGUAACACGUGGAGAACCUGCCCCCUCCCCCGGGAUAGCCGCCCGAAAGGACGGGUAAUACCGGAUACCCCGGGGUGCCGCAUGGCACCCCGGCUAAAGCCCCGACGGGAGGGGAUGGCUCCGCGGCCCAGCAGGUAGACGGCGGGGUGACGGCCCACCGUGCCGACAACGGGUAGCCGGGUUGAGAGACCGACCGGCCAGAUUGGGACUGAGACACGGCCCAGACUCCUACGGGAGGCAGCAGUGGGGAAUCUUGCGCAAUGGGGGGAACCCUGACGCAGCGACGCCGCGUGCGGGACGGAGGCCUUCGGGUCGUAAACCGCUUUCAGCAGGGAAGAGUCAAGACUGUACCUGCAGAAGAAGCCCCGGCUAACUACGUGCCAGCCGCCGCGGUAA